Molecule: ribosomal RNA, 764 nt
Filed under: uncultured bacterium
Lineage: Bacteria
Description: bacterial SSU rRNA
Rfam family: Bacterial small subunit ribosomal RNA
Source: RNAcentral
UGGCGACCGGCGCACGGGUGAGUAACACGUAUCCAACCUACCGGCUAUUCCGGGAUAGCCUUUCGAAAGAAAGAUUAAUACCGGAUAGUAUAGCGAGAAGGCAUCUUCUUGCUAUUAAAGAAUUUCGAUAACCGAUGGGGAUGCGUUCCAUUAGUUUGUUGGCGGGGUAACGGCCCACCAAGACAUCGAUGGAUAGGGGUUCUGAGAGGAAGGUCCCCCACAUUGGAACUGAGACACGGUCCAAACUCCUACGGGAGGCAGCAGUGAGGAAUAUUGGUCAAUGGACGAGAGUCUGAACCAGCCAAGUAGCGUGAAGGAUGACUGCCCUAUGGGUUGUAAACUUCUUUUAUAUGGGAAUAAAGUGAGCCACGUGUGGCUUUUUGUAUGUACCAUACGAAUAAGGAUCGGCUAACUCCGUGCCAGCAGCCGCGGUAAUACGGAGGAUCCGAGCGUUAUCCGGAUUUAUUGGGUUUAAAGGGAGCGUAGGCGGACUAUUAAGUCAGCUGUGAAAGUUUGCGGCUCAACCGUAAAAUUGCAGUUGAUACUGGUCGUCUUGAGUGCAGUAGAGGUAGGCGGAAUUCGUGGUGUAGCGGUGAAAUGCUUAGAUAUCACGAAGAACUCCGAUUGCGAAGGCAGCUUACUGGACUGUAACUGACGCUGAUGCUCGAAAGUGUGGGUAUCAAACAGGAUUAGAUACCCUGGUAGUCCACACAGUAAACGAUGAAUACUCGCUGUUUGCGAUAUACAGCAAGCGGCCAAGCGAA